This is a long non-coding RNA of Cygnus olor (mute swan), 1523 nucleotides long. RefSeq lists it as uncharacterized. Lineage: Eukaryota; Metazoa; Chordata; Aves; Anseriformes; Anatidae. The record is from RefSeq and is a predicted model, not a curated record. The transcript has 4 exons.
GAAUCUUGGUCUAUGUCUUAGAAAGGGAUAUUGGUCCAAUGUUUGCAGUUUUCUCUUAAGACAGGCUAAAAAUAUGUUCAUUGUCCAAGCUGAGAAAGCGCAGAUAAAAAUCAGAAACAAGGAAAAGGGUUUUAGGCUUGAUUUAUGCUGUCCAAAUGAUUGAAAGUAUAUUACAGGAAAUUUAUACUUCAGGUUUUAGCCUGAGUAUAGAUGAUAGUAUUCUGGAGCUUUCUUCCAGGGUACAUAGAUCUUCAGUAAUAGUAAAGGACAAAAGGGAAAGAACGAGUUGAGGGUCGUGCAGAGUUCACCUUAUAUACUUCCUGCAGUGAUCCCUUAGUUUUUAGUUACUAUCAAGAAUUUCAAAGCAAUAUUUCAUUGUGCAGUCAGCAUCAUGUGCUGGCUAACAAACAUUCAGUUUACUUCAAUUUUGUUACAUUCAAUUUGUAUAUUGUUUUAUUAUCAUUUUUGCAAUGCUGUUUUCAAAACCCAAGAAGAGGAGAACCUACCUGGGAUAUAACAUUUCUGUUCUCAGCAGUUUCCCCAAGCAGGGAGGCCAUACAAGAAGCCAGGAAGACUAAAAUAGACGCCGCGUGCUUAACAGCAAAGUUAUGGGAAACGUAAGGAUGAACCUUGCCGUGUUUUCUGCGGGGGCCUGUGCGGCGGUAGGAGAUGCUACGCCUCACCCACGUGGCUGCUCACAACACUUUACUCAUCUCAUGGCAUUUAGAGGACGAGAAGACUGGGAGUUCCCUUGGAAGUUCACUCAGUUCCUCUGUUACUUCUGUCACCGUAGUCAUGAUGGCUGAAUAUCCAUGAAUCUGUCUGUCUGCUCCUCAGAUGUGUUGGUGUUACCCCUUGUCUCUGAGGGUGAGCUUCAUCUGGCUAAGUGAAAGAAAAAAAAAAGAGGCAAGAUUAAACGACAAAGACAUCAAAAUCAUUCAGUGAUUCAUCUCUUUCCUGUUGGACUGGAUAUUACAGCUGUUACAGAAAAUAGUGAAUUUUCUGUUUGUCUUUUGUUUGAUUUGACAUUUUGUGGAAAGAAAAAAAUAAAAGAAAACACACUGUAGCAGCUGGUAAGCAUUGUGGGAGCCCUUGUGUCACACAUUUUCUUAGAGCGUAUGAUCCUGUCAUUACUGAGCAGUGACAUUGGCUGGGAUCAGAGGUAAAGAAAGCCUUGUUAUAUUUUAUUGUUCAAAUUUAUAAUUUGGGGAGUUAAGAUUGUGUUUUGAAAAGGCAUAUUGAAAAGGAAAAUGGAAAAAAAGGAAUGGAAAACCAUGCUUAAUUUUUGUCAACUGUAAGAAGCCAUGUUGCUGGACAAAGCAAAUCUCCCUUGCACUAUUAACAGAGCACCUCCCUGGCCUGCGACACUAUUCCAAGUUGUCAUGUCACCUGUUACAUCAUAAGGAGAUUGUCAUUCCAAACCAUGAAUCUUUAAUCUUCUACUCUUAAUACUUUCUUUCUAAUUCUGGACAGUCUUCAGAUUCUGUAAACCAUGGGCCUAGAAGUGGAAACUCUGCUGUCUG